This 750-nucleotide unclassified non-coding RNA is filed under the name uncultured Synechococcus sp. Its description in RNAcentral is "partial contains 16S ribosomal RNA and 16S-23S ribosomal RNA intergenic spacer". The stretch from base 1 to 264 matches the Rfam family "Bacterial small subunit ribosomal RNA", at positions 1271 to 1533 of the family's 1533-position model. Lineage: Bacteria; Bacillati; Cyanobacteriota; Cyanophyceae; Synechococcales; Synechococcaceae. The record is from RNAcentral.
AUCCCAUAAACCGUGGCUCAGUUCAGAUCGUAGGCUGCAACUCGCCUACGUGAAGGCGGAAUCGCUAGUAAUCGCAGGUCAGCAUACUGCGGUGAAUACGUUCCCGGGCCUUGUACACACCGCCCGUCACACCAUGGAAGUUGGCCACGCCCGAAGCCGUUACUCCAACCCUUGUGGAGGAGGACGUCGAAGGUGGGGCUGAUGACUGGGGUGAAGUCGUAACAAGGUAUCCGUACCGGAAGGUGCGGAUGGAUCACCUCCUAACAGGGAGACAACACAAUGAUUUUGAUGCUUGAGUGCUUUUAUUCUUAAGCCGAAAUCCUGUCACCUUAGGUCGAUCGGUACCUCAGCUUUGAAGUCAAGGAUCAGCAGCAAUGUUGAUUGCUUGAUGGAGAUUUUCAGUUCCUAAACUUUGUCUAGGUCACACCCCAAAAGGGAUGAGACUUCUGGGCCAUUAGCUCAGGUGGUUAGAGCGCACCCCUGAUAAGGGUGAGGUCCCUGGUUCAAGUCCAGGAUGGCCCAUUCGGUGUUGGGGGUUUAGCUCAGUUGGUAGAGCGCCUGCUUUGCAAGCAGGAUGUCAGGAGUUCGAGUCUCCUAACCUCCACUGACCGAACUUGAUUCCCAUCUCCAAUUUUUUGGAGUUGAGCUCGAUUGGAGUGUGAUUUAGAUGUGUCCGCUGGAUGACCCCAGCUUCCUGUCAUUCCAAGUUUUAGAUUUUAAGUCUUAAAUUUGGUUGAUAAGAUGCUGGGC